AGGAAUUGGCGGGGGAGCACUACAACGGGUGGAGCCUGCGGUUUAAUUGGAUUCAACGCCGGAAAGCUUACCGGAUCAGACAGCAAUAUGAAGGUCAAGCUAAAGACUUUACCGAAUUCGCUGAGAGGAGGUGCAUGGCCGUCGUCAGUUCGUAUCGUGAGACAUCCUGUUAAGUCAGGCAACGAGCAAGACCCGUGCCCACAGUUGCCAGCAUACCCUCCGGGGUGAUGGGCACACUGUGGGGACCGCCGCUGCUAAAGCGGAGGAAGGUGCGGGCUACGGUAGGUCAGUAUGCCCCGAAUCAUCCGGGCUACACGCGGGCUACAAUGGUUGGGACAAUGGGCACCUACACCGAGAGGUGAUGGUAAUCUCCUAAACCCAGCCUUAGUUCGGAUUGAGGGCUGCAACUCGCCCUCAUGAAGCCGGAAUCCGUAGUAAUCGCGUAUCAAUAUCACGCGGUGAAUACGUCCCUGCUCCUUGCACACACCGCCCGUCAAACCAUGCGAGUGGGGUUUAUGUGAGGGCGUGGUUUUUGCCACGUUCGAACAUAGGUUCCGCAAGGGGGGUUAAGUCGUAACAAGGUAGCCUCAGUCAGUCAA
This 599-nucleotide ribosomal RNA is filed under the name uncultured euryarchaeote. RNAcentral describes it as "bacterial SSU rRNA". It matches the Rfam family "Archaeal small subunit ribosomal RNA", at positions 860 to 1458 of the family's 1478-position model. Lineage: Archaea; Methanobacteriati; Methanobacteriota. The record is from RNAcentral.